This 916-nucleotide ribosomal RNA is filed under the name uncultured archaeon. RNAcentral's name for it is "SSU rRNA". It matches the Rfam family "Archaeal small subunit ribosomal RNA", at positions 1 to 923 of the family's 1478-position model. The record is from RNAcentral.
UUUCCGGUUGAUCCCGCCGGACCUGACUGCUAUCGGAUUGAUACUAAGCCAUGCGAGUCUUUGCAGUAAUGCAAGGCAUACGGCUCAGUAACACGUAGUCAACUUACCCUAUGGACGAGGAUAAUCUCGGGAAACUGAGCAUAAUACUCGAUAGAUCAUAAUGCCUGGAAUGGUUUAUGGUUGAAAUGAUUCGUCGCCAUAGGAUGGGACUGCGGCCUAUCAGCUUGUUGGUGAGGUAAUGGCCCACCAAGGCGAUUACAGGUACGGGCUCUGAGAGGAGAAGCCCGGAGAUGGGUACUGAGACAAGGACCCAGGCCCUAUGGGGCGCAGCAGGCGAGAAAACUUUGCAAUGUGCGAAAGCACGACAAGGUUAAUCCGAGUGAUUUCUGCUAAAGAAAUCUUUUGCAAGUCAUAAAACCACUAGUGAAUAAGGGGUGGGCAAGUUCUGGUGUCAGCCGCCGCGGUAAAACCAGCACCUCAAGUGGUCAGGAGGAUUAUUGGGCCUAAAGCAUCCGUAGCCGGCUCUGUAAGUUUUCGGUUAAAUCCAUGUGCUCAACGCAUGGGCUGCCGAAAAUACUGCAUAGCUAGGGAGUGGGAGAGGUAGACGGUACUCGGUAGGAAGGGGUAAAAUCCUUUGAUCUAUCGAUGACCACCUGUGGCGAAGGCGGUCUACCAGAACACGUUCGACGGUGAGGGAUGAAAGCUGGGGGAGCAAACCGGAUUAGAUACCCGGGUAGUCCCAGCUGUAAACGAUGCAGACUCGAUGAUGCAUUGGCAUAUAGCCAGUGCAGUGUCGCAGGGAAGCCGUUAAGUCUGCCGCCUGGGAAGUACGUACGCAAGUAUGAAACUUAAAGGAAUUGGCGGGGGAGCACCACAAGGGGUGAAGCCUGCGGUUCAAUUGGAGUCAACGCCGGGA